Gopherus agassizii (Agassiz's desert tortoise) is the source of this 2279-nucleotide long non-coding RNA. NCBI's taxonomy places the organism in Eukaryota, Metazoa, Chordata, Testudines, Testudinidae. The record is from Ensembl.
ACUCUUUUUCUCUCAGCAGGAGACAUGGAAGGGAGCCAACACCAUGUGUCCAGCCAGCUGUCCGAGGAUCAUGGGUGGUCCAUGGACUAGACAAACUGUGGGACAUGGGCUUCUUUUUGAUUUCCUGCCUGUAGUGGUGGUGUAUGCGGACACAUACCAACUGCAAUUCGCACCCGGGGGGAAUGAACGGAGUCUACAGUUUGCACAGCUUUUUCAGAUCCUCCAGCACAAAUGUUGUCAGGUGGUGCCCAAUAGGAAAUGUACCUGCUAUAUAACUAGUGAUGAUUUUAAUAAUGUAGUGUCUGUAUCCCCUAAAGCUGGAUUCUCUUCAACUAGGCGGCACGUAGAGGAGCUGCUUCUAUUUGCAUGGCGACAGGGUUCUACUGAAGGUUUGGUUCAGAGUCACUAGCCCUACACUAGGACAGCUAAUGGACAUGUAUGCAAGCCCUGAGAGACCUAUUUUAGCAUCAUGGCUUGGAAGCCUCCCUGAGGACACCAUCCAGGAGAUCCUAGAGGACGCUGCCAAGAUCGACACAAUCCUGCUGGCGCCGUGGCAGAAGAUUAACGCCCUCAACACUUUCCUGAUCCCCCGCAUCGCCUUCGUCUUGAGAGGUUCCGCCAUGGCAAAGGUGCCCCUCAACAAGGCAGACAACACCAUCUGGCAGCUGGUUAAGCAGUGGCUGUUCCUGCCCCAGAGAGCCAGCAAUGAGCUCAUAUACAUUGCCCACAGGCACGGUGGUGCCAACGUCCCCAGCAUGGGUGACCUCUGCGACAUAACAGUCGUCACGCACGCCUUCCGCCUCCUGACGUGCCCGGACGCCAUGGUAAAGAAUGUCGCAGCGGUCACCCUACGCACUGUCAUCGAGAAGCGAAUUGGCAGGCUUCCCUCCAGCCCGGAUGUAGCCACUUUCCUGAGCGGCUCCAUGGACUGCGAAUUCGCCCGGGACGGGGGCGACAUCGCCUCGCUGUGGUCCCGCGCCCGCAACGCCACGCGCUGGCUGGGAAAACGACUGGGCUGCCGCUGGGUAUGGAGCGAGGAACGACAGGAGCUGGGAGUCCUGGUGCCGCGGAUCGAGACGGCGGGCAACACCAUCGUCAGCUCCAGAGCCAGAGGCCUGCUGGAGAAGUUACUGAAGGCUGCUGUCCAUGGCUCUACGUGGACACCUUGAGGAAAAAACCCGACCAGGGCAAGGCCUUUGAGGUCACCAGCAAGUGGGACUCCAGCAACCACUUUCUCCCCGCGGGUAGCUUCACCCUUUUCGCUGACUGGCGGUUCAUACACCGCGCCCGACUGAACUGCAUCCCGCUCAAUGGAGCCGUCCACCACAGGAACCGGGACAAGCGCUGCAGGAAGUGCGGGUAUGCCCUGGAGACCUUGUCCCACGUCCUGUGCAGCUGCAAGCCCCACGCCAGAGCCUGGCAGCUGCGCCAUAACGCCGUCCAUGACCGGCUGGCGAAGGCCAUUGCCCCACACCUGGGUGAGAUCGCAGUCAACCGCACCAUCCCUGACACCAACAGCCUGCUGCGCCCGGACAUCGUCGUCACGGACGAGGAGCAGAAAAAGAUCAUCCUCAUCGACGUGACGAUCCCGUUCGAGAACAGGACCCCGGCCUUCCGCAAAGCCCGAGCCUGUAAACUCUAAAAAUAUGCCCCCUUGGCUGACACCCUGCGGGCAAAGGGCUACGAGGUUUACACCGACACCCUGAUCGUCGGGGCGCUGGGUGCCUGGGACCCCUGUAAUGAACAUGUACUUAGGGCCUGUGGGGUGGGCCGUCGCUAUGCACGGCUCAUGAGAUGUUUGAUGGUCUCGGACACUAUCCGGUGGUCUAGGGACAUUUACACAGAGCACAUCACCGGCCACCGCCAAUACCAGCAGUGAGCCGGCGUGGCUUCAUGCACCCACGAGGGGGAGGAGGCCUAUAAACCCCCCCUACUGAACCAUAUCCCCUGUGCCCUAAACCCACCGAACUGGAUUCCACCAUGCGAGGGUCAUCCUGUCCCCAUUACCCAGCCCGCUUACUUAUAUCCAUGAGUGCGUGUAACCCACUGUAUGAGUGAUGUACCCUCAUUGCUUCCUUAGUGCUUCUUGAUCCCACCCACUGUACACCCCGCAUUGGGGACCUUACAGACUGUAUAUAUUAUGUGCUAACCAAUUUCCAAAUACCAGCACCCCCUGUACUCUGUAUGUUACCCCCAAUGACCAAUAACUAAUGCUUCAAACUCUUAGUAUCAUCUUUAUUUAAAUAUUCUCUAAUAAACUUUUAAAUCUGCCCUGGCCA